RNAcentral lists this ribosomal RNA (484 nucleotides) under uncultured bacterium. Its description in RNAcentral is "partial 16S ribosomal RNA". It matches the Rfam family "Bacterial small subunit ribosomal RNA", at positions 30 to 507 of the family's 1533-position model. The record is from RNAcentral.
AUUGAACGCUGGCGGCAUGCCUUACACAUGCAAGUCGAGCGGAUAAAGGUCUUUGGAUGCUGAAGUGUGGGGAGCGGGGGUGUAUUAUGCCGGAGCGUGUGCGUUGUAGGGGGGUAUAACGUCGGGAGACUUGCUCUUAUCGCGCAUGCGUUCCGGGUGAGAGAAGGGGGGCUCUUCGGAUUGCGCGGUAUGAGAGGCGGCUAGGUCGGAUUAGCUAGUUGGUGGGGUAAAGGCUUACCAAGGCGACGAUCUGUAACUGGUCUGAGAGGAUGAUCAGUCACACUGGAACUGAGACACGGUCCAGACUCCUACGGGAGGCAGCAGUGGGGAAUAUUGGACAAUGGGCGAAAGCCUGAUCCAGCCAUGCCGCGUGUGUGAUGAAGGUCUUCGGAUUGUAAACUACUUUAAGUUGGGAGGAAGGGAAGUAAGUUAAUACCUUGCUGUUUUGACGUUACCAACAGAAUAAGCACCGGCUAACUUCGUG